RNAcentral lists this ribosomal RNA (453 nucleotides) under Triticum aestivum (bread wheat). RNAcentral's name for it is "partial small subunit ribosomal RNA". Lineage: Eukaryota; Viridiplantae; Streptophyta; Magnoliopsida; Poales; Poaceae. The record is from RNAcentral.
AUGUUUUGGCUGACCACGGUGUACGGCCCCAUUGAUGAUAGUAGAAAGGACGAGUUCUUGUCAGGAAUAGCUAGGACGGUGCCGCCACCAAAUGACCCCUGGCUCAUCAACGACGAUUUCAACCUCAUAUACAAGGCUAGUGAUAAUAACAAUAGCAAUGUCAACCGUAGAAUGUUGGGCAAAUUCCGUGCGGCGAUCGACGCCGCAGGACUCCGGGAGAUUAGAUGCAAAAACCGACGUUUCACGUGGAGCAACGAGCACGAGGAUCCAACCCUUGUCAGCAUCGACAAGUUCUUUUGCAGCAAUGCUUGGGACACCCUCUUCCCAACCUUCCUCCUGCAUGCCGCUUCAACAUCCUGCUUCGAUCACUGCCCCCUUCUGCUCACUGCAGCAACCGCACCACGCCGAUCGGCUCAUUUCCGGUUUGAAUCCUUCUGGCCACGAUUCCCCUGA